UCUAUAGCUCUGCCUGUAGCUCUUCUAGAGUUACUGCCGGUCCCAAGCCCGGGUAAAGGAGGAGGGUUGA
RNAcentral lists this non-coding RNA (70 nucleotides) under Schistosoma mansoni. Lineage: Eukaryota; Metazoa; Platyhelminthes; Trematoda; Strigeidida; Schistosomatidae. The record is from RNAcentral.